UUCUCUUUUGUCUCCGAAGGCUAAAAGGUUUAUUAGAUCGUGAAAAAGAGGAACUCGCAGAAGCAGAAAUCAUUAAAGACUCUCCGGAUUCCCCAGAGCCGCCCAACAAGAAGCCUCUUGUUGUAAUGGAAGACUUGCCAGGGCUGGAAAAAAAUAAAGGGCCAAUAUCCCUUCUGUCUCUUUGGAGCAACAGGAUUAAUGCUGCAAAUUCUAGAAAACAUCAAGAAUUUAUUGGCCGCUUAAAUUCUGUCAACAAUAAGGCUGAACUGUAUCAACAUCUUAAAGAGGAGAAUGGAAUGGAAACCACAGAAAAUGGAAAACCGAGCCGGCAGUGAAUUCUGGGAUAUAGAGCCGUUUUUGUUCAAGCCUGAUCUCUUAUCUAACUGUACAGUUCUCUACUUUGAUUGCUUUUUAC
Molecule: long non-coding RNA, 415 nt
Organism: Protobothrops mucrosquamatus (brown spotted pit viper)
Lineage: Eukaryota; Metazoa; Chordata; Lepidosauria; Squamata; Viperidae
Exons: 3
Source: RefSeq, a predicted model, not a curated record